RNAcentral lists this ribosomal RNA (472 nucleotides) under uncultured eubacterium WR8119. Its description in RNAcentral is "bacterial SSU rRNA". It matches the Rfam family "Bacterial small subunit ribosomal RNA", at positions 9 to 527 of the family's 1533-position model. The record is from RNAcentral.
GAGUUUGAUCAUGGCUCAGAGCGAACGCUGGCGGCAUGCUUAACACAUGCAAGUCGCACGGGCAGCAAUGUCAGUGGCGGACGGGUGAGUAAUGCGUAGGUAUCUAUCCUUGGGUGGGGGACAACUGUGGGAAACUACAGCUAAUACCGCAUGAUAACUGAGGUUUAAAGGCGCAAGUCGCCUGGGGAGGAGCCUGCGUACGAUUAGCUAGUUGGUGGGGUAAAGGCCUACCAAGGCGACGAUCGUUAGCUGGUCUGAGAGGAUGAUCAGCCACAUUGGGACUGAGACACGGCCCAAACUCCUACGGGAGGCAGCAGUGGGGAAUAUUGGACAAUGGGCGAAAGCCUGAUCCAGCAAUGCCGCGUGUGUGAAGAAGGUCUUCGGAUUGUAAAGCACUUUCGACGGGGACGAUGAUGACGGUACCCGUAGAAGAAGCCCCGGCUAACUUCGUACCAGCAGCCGCGGUAAUACG